Molecule: non-coding RNA, 243 nt
Organism: Plectropomus leopardus (leopard coralgrouper)
Lineage: Eukaryota; Metazoa; Chordata; Actinopteri; Perciformes; Serranidae
Source: RefSeq, a predicted model, not a curated record
UUCAGGUCCGACACAGGAAGGGCUUCAUCAAACUGGCGCUCAAACACGGAGCUCACCUGGUUCCCGUAUUUUCUUUCGGAGAGAACGAGCUGUUUGAUCAGAUGGAGAAUCCCAGCGGCUCUCCGCUCAGGAGGCUGCAGAACCGGCUGCAGAGCAUCAUGGGAGUGGCCAUGCCCCUGUUUCACGCCAGAGGAGUUUUCCAGUACAGCUUCGGACUGAUGCCCUACAGGAAGCCCAUCCACA